Molecule: ribosomal RNA, 794 nt
Filed under: uncultured bacterium
Lineage: Bacteria
Description: bacterial SSU rRNA
Rfam family: Bacterial small subunit ribosomal RNA
Source: RNAcentral
AGAGUUUGAUCCUGGCUCAGAUUGAACGCUGGCGGCAUGCCUUACACAUGCAAGUCGAACGGCAGCACGGGAGCAAUCCUGGUGGCGAGUGGCGAACGGGUGAGUAAUGUAUCGGAACGUGCCCAGUUGUGGGGGAUAACUACUUGAAAGAGUGGCUAAUACCGCAUACGACCUGAGGGUGAAAGCGGGGGAUCGCAAGACCUCGCGCAAUUGGAGCGGCCGAUAUCAGAUUAGCUAGUUGGCGGGGUAAAAGCCCACCAAGGCGACGAUCUGUAGCUGGUCUGAGAGGACGACCAGCCACACUGGGACUGAGACACGGUCCAGACUCCUACGGGAGGCAGCAGUGGGGAAUUUUGCGCAAUGGGCGAAAGCCUGACGCAGCAACGCCGCGUGAGUGAUGAAGGCUUUCGGGUCGUAAAGCUCUGUCGAGGGGAAAGAAGUGUACUUUGGCUAAUAUCCAUUGUACUUGACGGUACCCCUAAAGGAAGCACCGGCUAACUCCGUGCCAGCAGCCGCGGUAAUACGGGGGGUGCAAGCGUUGUUCGGAAUUAUUGGGCGUAAAGCGCGUGUAGGCGGUCUGAUUAGUCUGAUGUGAAAGCCCUGGGCUCAACCCAGGAAGUGCAUUGGAUACUGUCAGACUUGAAUACGGGAGAGGGUAGUGGAAUUCCUAGUGUAGGAGUGAAAUCCGUAGAUAUUAGGAGGAACACCGGUGGCGAAGGCGGCUACCUGGACCGAUAUUGACGCUGAGACGCGAAAGCGUGGGUAGCAAACAGGAUUAGAUACCCUGGUAGUCC